This 2081-nucleotide long non-coding RNA is filed under the name Homo sapiens (human). RNAcentral's name for it is "HSALNT0323781". Lineage: Eukaryota; Metazoa; Chordata; Mammalia; Primates; Hominidae. The record is from RNAcentral.
AAAUCUUUAAUCUGCGAGUUUCAGAAGAUCUAGAAUUCUGAUGCUAUACUAUGUUACCUCUCCAUUUUUCAAAGCUCCAUAUUCCUGACCUUUCUAUAAUCUUUGAUGGCUUCUUCAUCCAUUUUUUUUAACUCUCAGUUACCAGGUUACUUGCUUUAUUCUUGAUACCCUUUAACUUUCUCUUACCCUUCUCUUGAAAUAGUUCCAUUAAAAAUUACCAUGUAAAGUACCUAAUUUCCAUUGUGUGUCUAUGAAGCGGAUUUUCACAGCAUCAUUCGACAUUAUGCAAGUUGAAUUCCAGGGCGUGUGCCAGAACAUGUUAGGAGCCGAAUAUAAAACGUUAGGCUGCAGAUAGGGUACCAGUGUGUUACUGAAUUGAUUCCUCGAUGCUGUUACUAUGAACAUGGAUGAGUAUUUUAUGCUAUAAGAAAGGGAUGACUGUAAAUCUGGACAAGAUAUGACAGCUCUUAUAUGUUGGAUUCUCGGUCUUUGCUUUUUGAAGUUUCCUGCAUUUUUCUGUGUUUUCUAGUUUUUAUCAGCAUGGAUACCAAUAAGCCACUCUCAACUUACCUCUGAUUUCUGCUUUCAUUUUCUGAAAGUCUUGAAUAUCAGACGAUCAGUUUUAUGAAAAGAAUGUACAAAGAGCAAAUCAGCAGAAUCUGAUCCUCAUCUUUAAGACGUUCUAUUCCAGAUGAAGAGUAACUAGAAAAAAUAUGUAUCUCUGAACAUUAGAAUCACACUCAGCCUGAUGAGAUGCUCACACCGAGGAAUACCGGAAGUGAGACUGACUAAACGGACCUGAGGAUUAUUUCGAGGAUUAAAACAAACAAAAGUGAAAUGACUCAUUCUGGACGGCCCCAGGUGGUUCUGAAAUCCUGAGACUGAAAACUCCAAGAAGCAACCAAGAGACAAGGACAUGGUGUCAGUACUUGCACUGGUGAUUAAAGACAGAUCUUCAACAUCCCUGACGGCAGCAAAUAUGUCUAUGAUAGUAACACGGGGUGAAGCGGCUGAGUGGAAGAAGAUAUAGAGUGCUGUAGAGAAAAGUAUUGGAGAACAAGAAGAGUGAUGCAGAAAAUGAAACGCAGGGACACAAAGAAAAAGCACGCAGUUCUGGACAUAUUUAUGAAGACUUAAGCUGGGACUUCCUCUGCACACCAGCUCCCUCCCCUGCCCCCAGCUCUACAGACAUGACCGCACUUCCCACCUCCCGGGUUUCCCACAGCCGAGUGGUGCCCUGAGUCUCUUCCUAUGUCCAAUCCUAUGGUUUUGUUUCCUUUGCUUUUUCUUUCCUGCCCACUUUGUAGUUAUAGGUAUUUGCUGAAGCUCAGACCUUGGCUCAUUUCCUUUCUCAUUCUUACUGAACUGAGAAGUUGGAAUGCUUCAAUCAACAGCACUGUGCCGACAGCCUCUCUCAUCCUGGAUCGCAGCCCCUAAGACAUGUCUUCCUGGAUAUUCCAGGGUUCUUUCACAUAUCUAACACAUACUGCAUCUUCACUGCUGCAUCCCAAUUUUCCCAGACCCACAAUGUGAAAAUUUUUAUUAUUUGGUCCUGAAACCUUUUGCAUCAUCCUACCUAUCAAAUCUGCCACAGUCCUUGUUGACUUUUAAAAAGUUUUACUAGGGUACCACGUCCAGUGUCUUGACCCCAGGCUGGUAACCAUCGCUUGCCCAUUACUCUGCACCAGCUUCUUUACAUGCAUUUUCAGUCUCUUCGUUUUCCAUGUUAACUAUGCUACAAUCAACUAAAAGUCCUUAAUGUGCUAAUUUAGGAAAGACCUUAACCAUUCUCCAAACUACUAAUGACCCCCACCAUUUGAUCCCACUCUCCCUGUAAAACUAGCUUUUAUUAUUCCACAACGUGGAGCCUCUGUUGGGGUUGGCCAGUAUUCUCAUCAUCCCUCCACCAUGCCAUGUUUAUUAAUGAGUCAAGGUUUGUGGCCAUGCUCCUUUUUUCCAAUUAAAUACUGUUUGCUUUAUCGUUUAAUCAAAAUUCUAUUUUUUAAGGUAAAUUUCAAAUGAUACUUUUUUUAAGUCUAGUCAAGUACAGUAGGGAGAAGGGGGGAAAGAGUGGAACAAGG